RNAcentral lists this ribosomal RNA (771 nucleotides) under uncultured Neocallimastigales. Its description in RNAcentral is "partial large subunit ribosomal RNA". It matches the Rfam family "Eukaryotic large subunit ribosomal RNA", at positions 24 to 628 of the family's 3401-position model. Lineage: Eukaryota; Fungi; Neocallimastigomycota; Neocallimastigomycetes; Neocallimastigales. The record is from RNAcentral.
UAGUCUCGCACAGAUGCAUAUCAAUAAGCGGAGGAAAGGAAACUAACAAGGAUUCCCUCAGUAACGGCGAGUGAAGCGGGAAGAGCUCAAAUUUGAAAUCUUGAAAGGUCACCUUUCACGAAUUGUAGUUUAAAGAAGUGUUUUCUGUUACGAUCGUAAUAUAAGUUCUUUGGAAUAGGACAUCACAGAGGGUGAGAAUCCCGUCUAUGAUUGCGAUUUGUAGCUUUGUGAUACACUUUCAAAGAGUCGGGUUGUUUGGGAAUGCAGCCCAAAACGGGAGGUAAAUUUCUUCUAAGGCUAAAUAUUGGCGAGAGACCGAUAGCGAACAAGUACCGUGAGGGAAAGAUGAAAAGAACUUUGAAAAGAGAGUUAAAUAGUACGUGAAAUUGUCAAAAGGGAAGCGUUUAACACCAGUGUUGUUUUCUGAAAAUCAACCUCUGUUAGCUUUAUGCAUGUUUGUUUAGACCUAAUCAGCUAUCUUGCAUGUUCUAUUGUUUGCAGUGGUGCACUUUUCAGUUUACAGGUCUACAUCAGUUUUUUUUACCGUAAAAAAGUUAAAGAAAGGUAGCUCAUGGCUCCGGUCGUGAGUGUUAUAGUCUUUUUCCUAUGCGGUAGGAGAGACUGAGGUCUGCAGUGUAGGCUAUUUGGCUAGAUACUCAGGUGCUAUGUGAUACCAUUUCAUAAACAACUUGUUGAUUAUGUUUUGUCUAUUGCAUGACUCGCUUGUACUAUCAUACCUACGCUUAGGAUGUUGAGUCGUAGAGCACGCAG